AUUGAACGCUGGCGGCAUGCCUAACACAUGCAAGUCGAACGGUAACAGGCCCUUCGGGGUGCUGACGAGUGGCGGAUGGGUGAGUAAUACUUAGGAAUCUACCCUGUAGUGGGGGACAACCCGGGGAAACUCGGGCUAAUACCGCAUACGCUCUACGGAGGAAAGCGGGGGACCGCAAGGCCUCGCGCUAUUGGAUGAGCCUAAGCCCGAUUAGCUAGUUGGUGGGGUAAUAGCCUACCAAGGCAAUGAUCGGUAGCUGGUCUGAGAGGACGACCAGCCACACUGGGACUGAGACACGGCCCAGACUCCUACGGGAGGCAGCAGUGGGGAAUAUUGGACAAUGGGCGAAAGCCUGAUCCAGCGAUGCCGCGUGUGUGAAGAAGGCCUGCGGGUUGUAAAGCACUUUCAGU
Molecule: ribosomal RNA, 410 nt
Filed under: uncultured bacterium
Lineage: Bacteria
Description: bacterial SSU rRNA
Rfam family: Bacterial small subunit ribosomal RNA
Source: RNAcentral